Small nuclear RNA from Salvia splendens (bonfire salvia), 161 nucleotides. RefSeq annotates it as U1 spliceosomal RNA. The record is from RefSeq and is a predicted model, not a curated record. The transcript has a single exon. Lineage: Eukaryota; Viridiplantae; Streptophyta; Magnoliopsida; Lamiales; Lamiaceae.
AUGCUUAUCUUGACGAGGUCAAUGGACGAACCAUAAUGGCCAUCGCCUAGAUUGGCGACCUCCAUUGCACUUUGGAGGGGUGCCUGCCUAAGAUCGGCCCGAGUGGUUGAUACUGCGUCAUAAUUUGUUCUAGAGGGGGUCUGCGCUCGCGCGGCCCCUGC